CUAAAAACAAAUCAUUAAGUAUUAUCUAAAGUCAAAUUGCACCAACUGUCUGACUGAGGCUGGUCCAAGUCUGGCCUUAUCAGCAUUCAGCACCACUGCCCCAGGAUGGAUGAGGAAACAGAACACCACUAAAGGGUAAGCCAGAGACAGAGGGCCCCUGUUCUUGUUUGUUCUGCAAAGCCCUUUAUGUUCUUCUGGAAGAUAGAAAAAGAUAUAUCUGACUGAGAAACAGAACUUUUCACUAUCUUUGAUCAACUGGCUAGAAGAUGUCUCUUUUUCUCUCACUUCUGCUCUUUGCAGGCACUGCAGGAACUCACAUCUCCUGGCAUUGGGAUUGGCAUGGUGUUCAAGGCUGCUCGUCUGCAGGCCAGUACUACCUUCCAGGCAUGUGAUGCAUGGAUAAAUAUGGGCUGUUUCACCAGAGAGACAGUACCCCAGACAUUGUUGAGAAGAGAAGGGAAAUGCAGGAGCCCCUCUGGACUCUGGGUGCUACCAGCUCUCCAGGCAGGGUCCUUGCCUACCUCUCCUGCCUCCUGCAGUUUGGGGACAUGAACUCGUAUUGAAGGGCAAGAGAUACAAGUCUCCAAGCUUGACUUCUAUGCUGUGUGGCUUCCUGAGAGCAAGCAUUGAAUGACACUCCCUGGUUUUGGUUGUUUGUUUUUUUUUUUAAAUUUGCCCGCCAGAUCUGGAACUGAAACCAUCAAUUCAUUUCACUGACGAUCUCAUUCUCAACUCAAGUCAGCAAUAGCUGCCUCAGCUAGCACCAGGCUUCUACCCACUGAAUCAGCUCCUAUGGGAAU
This 800-nucleotide long non-coding RNA is filed under the name Lepidothrix coronata (blue-crowned manakin). RNAcentral's name for it is "lncRNA (ENSLCOG00000000779.1)". Lineage: Eukaryota; Metazoa; Chordata; Aves; Passeriformes; Pipridae. The record is from RNAcentral.